Molecule: ribosomal RNA, 484 nt
Filed under: uncultured bacterium
Lineage: Bacteria
Description: partial 16S ribosomal RNA
Rfam family: Bacterial small subunit ribosomal RNA
Source: RNAcentral
GGGGGGGGGGGGGGGGGGGGGUGGGGGGGGCAGGUCGGGCGGGUGAGGGGGGCUUGCGCCUGGAUUCAGCGGCGGGCGGGUGCGUGCUGCCUGGGAAUCUGCCUGGUAGUGGGGGAUAACGUCCGGAAACGGGCGCUAAUACCGCAUACGUCCUGAGGGAGAAAGUGGGGGAUCUUCGUACCUCACUCUAUCAGUUCCGCCUAGGUCGGAUUAGCUAGUUGGUGGGGUAAAGGCCUACCCAGGCGACGAUCCGUAACUGGUCUGAGAGGAUGAUCAGUCACACUGGAACUGAGACACGGUCCAGACUCCUACGGGAGGCAGCAGUGGGGAAUAUUGGACAAUGGGCGAAAGCCUGAUCCAGCCAUGCCGCGUGUGUGAAGAAGGUCUUCGGAUUGUAAAGCACUUUAAGUUGGGAGGAAGGGCAGUAAGUUAAUACCUUGCUGUUUUGACGUUACCAACAGAAUAAGCACCGGCUAACUUCGUG